RNAcentral lists this ribosomal RNA (491 nucleotides) under uncultured soil bacterium. Its description in RNAcentral is "bacterial SSU rRNA". It matches the Rfam family "Bacterial small subunit ribosomal RNA", at positions 26 to 511 of the family's 1533-position model. The record is from RNAcentral.
AGAUUGAACGCUGGCGGCAUGCCUUACACAUGCAAGUCGAACGGCAGCACGGGAGCAAUCCUGGUGGCGAGUGGCGAACGGGUGAGUAAUAUAUCGGAACGUGCCCAGUCGUGGGGGAUAACGCAGCGAAAGCUGUGCUAAUACCGCAUACGAUCUAUGGAUGAAAGCGGGGGAUCGCGAGACCUCGCGCGAUUGGAGCGGCCGAUAUCAGAUUAGGUAGUUGGUGGGGUAAGAGCCUACCAAGGCGACGAUCUGUAGCUGGUCUGAGAGGACGACCAGCCACACUGGAACUGAGACACGGUCCAGACUCCUACGGGAGGCAGCAGUGGGGAAUUUUGGACAAUGGGCGCAAGCCUGAUCCAGCAAUGCCGCGUGCAGGAUGAAGGCCUUGGUUGUAAACUGCUUUUGUACGGAACGAAACGGUUCUACUCUAAUACAGGGCUAAGUGACGGUACCGUAAGAAUAAGCGAACCGGACUAACUACGUGACCG